CAGCGUACGGGUGCGGGACACGUGUGCAACCUGCCUUUAUCAAGGGGAUAGCCUUUCGAAAGGAAGAUUAAUACCCUAUAAUAUAUGAUUCGGCAUCGGAUUAUAUUGAAAACUACGGUGGAUAAAGAUGGGCACGCGCAAGAUUAGCUAGUUGGUGAGGUAACGGCUCACCAAGGCGACGAUCUUUAGGGGGCCUGAGAGGGUGAUCCCCCACACUGGUACUGAGACACGGACCAGACUCCUACGGGAGGCAGCAGUC
This 259-nucleotide ribosomal RNA is filed under the name uncultured Elizabethkingia sp. RNAcentral describes it as "partial 16S ribosomal RNA". It matches the Rfam family "Bacterial small subunit ribosomal RNA", at positions 96 to 355 of the family's 1533-position model. Lineage: Bacteria; Pseudomonadati; Bacteroidota; Flavobacteriia; Flavobacteriales; Weeksellaceae. The record is from RNAcentral.